UACGGAGGGUGCGAGCGUUGUCCGGAAUCACUGGGCGGAAAGGGCGCGUAGGUGGCGCGGGCAGUCAACGGUGAAAGUUCGGGGCUCAACCCUGAAUCGGCCGUCGAUACUCCCGGGCUUGAGCACUGUAGAGGCAGAUGGAAUUCCGGGUGUAGCGGCGGAAUGCGUAGAGAUCCGGAAGAACACCGGUGGCGAAGGCGGUCUGCUGGGCAGUAGCUGACGCUGAGGAGCGAAAGCGUGGGGAGCGAACAGG
This 253-nucleotide ribosomal RNA is filed under the name uncultured bacterium. Its description in RNAcentral is "partial 16S ribosomal RNA". It matches the Rfam family "Bacterial small subunit ribosomal RNA", at positions 524 to 776 of the family's 1533-position model. The record is from RNAcentral.